Long non-coding RNA from Syngnathoides biaculeatus (alligator pipefish), 543 nucleotides. RefSeq lists it as uncharacterized. The transcript has 3 exons. NCBI's taxonomy places the organism in Eukaryota, Metazoa, Chordata, Actinopteri, Syngnathiformes, Syngnathidae. The record is from RefSeq and is a predicted model, not a curated record.
GUGUUAAAUACCUGUCAUAAAGCUAGAUAACCGAAUGUAGGAAUGACUUCCGUAAUUAACGUUGACUUAGAAAGAGAGAAGACUCUGUCCUUUACCCAUUAAAGUCCAAGAGUUUCAAUUAGCGCCAUUCUUCCCGAAAAAAGAUGGUGGAAGCAUUGUUCGGAGAAAAAGAGGACGAGGUCAUCGCGCUUCCUCCGCCCUCUCCUCUUUUUUUUUUUUUUUACACCCAGAAGCGAUGGGAUGCCAUCUGCACUGCCCGUGACAGACACUGUGUGCCAUGCCAGGGGGCAAACAAAGGCUUUGGCCCAUCUUCGGAUCCUGGCUGCCAUCUUGGGAGAUGUUGCCGUUGAUAUCUAAAAUGGCUGGGCUGAAGUAAAUGGACACAGAUGACAAGCUGUGGAACCAACACCAGACUGCCCUACAAGUCAUCAGAAUUUGUUUGUUCUUUUCAGAGACGGCGUAUCUUAAAAGAACAAGAUGUUUUUUUAAUGACUCAUUUAUAUUGCACUUUCUUUGGAUGUAUUACAUACAGUAAGAUAUAAU